GCCAUAGCUCAGUGGUAGAACAUCUGUUCUGCAUGCAGAAUACCUCUGGUUCAAUCCCUGGUAUCUCCA
Non-coding RNA from Podarcis lilfordi (Lilford's wall lizard), 69 nucleotides. The record is from the annotation of a GenBank genome assembly. Lineage: Eukaryota; Metazoa; Chordata; Lepidosauria; Squamata; Lacertidae.